Long non-coding RNA from Triticum aestivum (bread wheat), 2619 nucleotides. RefSeq lists it as uncharacterized. The record is from RefSeq and is a predicted model, not a curated record. The transcript has 3 exons. Lineage: Eukaryota; Viridiplantae; Streptophyta; Magnoliopsida; Poales; Poaceae.
UUUUGAUGUAGGCCCAUUUAGACCACCCUCAUAAAGAACCCGUACAGGUAUCAUCUACGUGUAGAAAUCUUCUCGUUGGGUAAAAAAACUCUUCUCUCGCAGCUUCUUCGAUCCCCACCAGCAUCCUUAUCCAUCCGAUGCACCACCUCUUCCGAUUAGCCGUUUGUUGAAGAUUUCGUUGCUCGCCACCACAGAACCAAUUCCCAAUCCAUCUCCACUUCUCCAUUCAUUUCUUUGAAUCUCUUCCGUUACUGGCGCAGUUGGUGGUUGCACGGAGUACGCAGACGCGUUCGUCUUGUUCUCAAGGGUGUGGAUCCUUGACCUCGUCGAGUCCGACGGAGUGGCCAUGCUGCGGAGUGGCCAUGGGGAGUAGCAGGGAAAACACAGGGCUGCACUGCUCAAGCUCGUCAUGGCCGUCGGCUAAGCCAUGGCAGAUUUGCUGUAGUUUGGCCUCAUGGAGGAGGCUGUGUGGGAACCAAUUGGUGGGAACUCACCAAGUCGCCUACUGAUGAUGAAUUGUUAGAUCUGACAUCCGAGGUACGGGACAGAGUUUGGGUUUGCUGAUAUUGUCCUCAUAGGUAUUACAGUGGCAAUGGUGAAACCUUAGUAUAAGUAGAUUGUGGAAUACAAAUAGCAGCACACGACCGUGAGAUGCUGGCCUUUUCAUUUCUGGUGCUGUCAGACUACUACCACACAAUUGUGCCGCUGGGCAAAGCUAGCGUUAUGUACAUAUCCGGUUGUGCUAUGAAGUUACUUGAGCAAGGUAUAACUCAUUCUCGCAAAAAUUGAUGAUACCAUUUAUUGAAAUUCUGAUGAAUUACCUGGUCUUGCUGGUUUUCGUGCCUCAUUUUAGUAAGUUCUUGCAAUGUUCUCCGCCUGUAAAACAUUUGUUCUUCUAGUGUUCCCUGAUUACUUCUAUCUAUACUCAUCAUUUUUGGUAAGGUUACUUGUGUUGAGUCCCUGCACAUAUAUAAAACAAAUAAUAAUAUAUACAAUCUUGAAUCAACAUGAGUCACUAUUCAUGAGUGGGAAUUUUUAAUUGGUAGUGUUUCAUACCUUUCAAGAAGUUCUUGUGCUUCUGGUAUGUCCAGAUCUAUAUAUAUUCUUGUCGCACUGGUUGACUUUAGGCACAAACCUAUUUAAUUAACCAAUUAGAAUUUUUGAAUGAUAAGAGCAGCAUCUAAGAUUUAUGGACUUACCAUUGAAUCUCUGCACCAUCGUUGAUGUAAUAAUAAUGACAGUUUGGCUGCCAAUUACAUCCUCGGUCAAAAAGUAAGCAAACUUUCCCCAUAACGUGAUUAUGAUUUUAUCACCCCUAAAGAAUUUAAUUCGAGAAGUUAGUGUUAACCACAUGGGGCAUGCGUAGUUAAAUUUCAGACAUACAUAUGCAUAUGCACUUACUCUGGCAUUAGUAUUUCAAUCUCGCGGAUAUAUGAAGGUUGUGGGCUCUUUUUUGUUAUUCUUGUCUCCACGGGCUUCAUUUUUGUUAGAAGUCCAAUGACAUCUGUAUAUUUGGAAAUUAGUAAUAUAACAAUUAGAAAUAUCUAUUAUUUGGAAGCCGUAAUUACAACUAUAAACAUACCUGAGCAUUGUGUAUCUUUUCCUGCCCUUUCUUCGAGUGUCUCCAUGGUAGCAAACUCGAAGCAAUAGUCCAAAAAAACUUCUGAAGAUCCUUUUAUCUCCUUUACCUUUGUAUUGUAUGCAAAAAAUAUUUUAAUUUCAUUGCUCACUGGCCUAUAUUUUGUGGAUUCCACAACCUUAAAAUUGCUGAAUCCGUAAAUAGACUUCUCAUUGAUCUUUGAUCUAAAAGUAUCUAUUAGAUUCUUCCAGAUAGAAGCAUGAAUUGUUUCACCCUGUAAAAACAAUCAAUUAUGGUUAGUAACUGUUGCUUAAUCUGAAAAAAAUCCAAUUAACUAUAUUGAAAAACAGACCUGCUCAUCCAUGAGUAUCAUAUCUAGGCUAAUAAGCUCAUCGGUAGUAGGAUUAACUGAAUCCCAAAUCCUCAUUACUUUCACUUGAAUGUUCCAGUUUUGUCCCCUUGUAGUUAAUUCGCUCAACUUUGUGUAUGCCAUAGUCUUAUGUCUUCAAAAUUAAUAGGAAAAAAUUAGUCAAUGGAUAUAGUAUUUAUGAAGAUCCUAUCCAUAAAAAAGGUUGUUAAAUAACAAUUACCAAGUCUGGUAAUUCAGCCCAGAAGUUCUUUGUCGUCACUUCUUCCGACGUCGAUUGGAGCAGCUGGGCGUGGCUUUGUCGGGUGUCGGCGGGCUUUGGCGUGACUUCCACCAACGUCAAGUGAAGCGGUUGGAGAUGACUUGUCGACUUCAAGCUGUGCGGACGGCGAGGCGUGUGUUCCGUCUGGCGUGUUUCAAGAUGUGGUGGUCAUCGAUUUCUAAUUGUUUGCUGCGUGCUUGUGUGGCCGGCUGCACUUAUUUAUAUGGGUUGAGGUGGCUGGGUUGACGUGGCGGAGACCGUGUGGAGAUCUUGUACGUAUUCGUUCCUGUCUUGGAACUUUCAUCACGUGAGGUCUGGUGGGUUUCCUUAUUUGAUUAGGUUUCUUAUUUAAGUAGGUUUGACUACUAUUUUUGCUCCUUGACCCAUUGAUGGAAAUAUUCUAUUUUUGUU